UGGAGGCUGCUGGCUGUGCUGUGAGGAGAUAAGGGACAUGUGGUUGUGCAAGGCAGGAAGGAAAUGGUUGUCAGAUUGGUGCUGCAUUUUGAUCUAAGCAAACACUAGAUUCCGUUUGAAUUUAUGCCUUCACAGAUGAUACGGGAAUGGGACCAUUUAUCUGGGAUUUUGGAGUUCUGUCUACCUCUGUUGGGACAGGAACUCCAGCUGUCUGCCUGCUGCUCAGAAAGCCCAGAUGGACACCAGUACACAAGCACAGCUCCUGUUCAGUGGCUCUGAGCGAGCAAGAGUACUCUCUGCACACACUGACCAUCUGCUCUCAUUCUGUGAGCAG
Long non-coding RNA from Ficedula albicollis (Collared flycatcher), 334 nucleotides. RefSeq lists it as uncharacterized. NCBI's taxonomy places the organism in Eukaryota, Metazoa, Chordata, Aves, Passeriformes, Muscicapidae. The record is from RefSeq and is a predicted model, not a curated record. The transcript has 3 exons.